AGAGUUGGAACUUGGAAGAAAGACAGUCCGAAACAUCGAUGUAACAAUCACCUUGGAGAACAAGGAAUUCUGAAACACGGACACAAGCAAUGAUCAUUAAUCCUUACGUUGGAAGUUCACACACACAUAGAGCCAAUGGUCAUUAAGACUUAACUUGGAAGUUGGGAGGAAGAAAGUCUGAAACAUCGAUCAUCGAAAAUUCGAAGCCACCACCUUGAAUUCCAAAAUUGUCAGCGUGUAGGAGAAAUAUUACUAAUCUACAACUUCCUCAAUUAGAUUUUCGUAUCAAUUGAUCGAUUUUAUUUGGUGAAAAAAACACACAAAGACGA
This 329-nucleotide long non-coding RNA is filed under the name Glycine max (soybean). Its description in RNAcentral is "long non-coding RNA (GMAX_LNC000729)". The record is from RNAcentral. Lineage: Eukaryota; Viridiplantae; Streptophyta; Magnoliopsida; Fabales; Fabaceae.